GAUGAACGCUGGCGGCGUGCUUAACACAUGCAAGUCGAACGGAGUUACAGGAAACCUAGUGAAUGUAACUUAGUGGCGGACGGGUGAGUAACGCGUGGGUAACCUGCCUCACACUGGGGGACAACAGUUAGAAAUGACUGCUAAUACCGCAUAAGCGCACAUUUCCGCAUGGAAGAGUGUGAAAAACUCCGGUGGUGUGAGAUGGACCCGCGUCUGAUUAGCUGGUUGGCGGGGUAACGGCCCACCAAGGCAACGAUCAGUAGCCGGCCUGAGAGGGUGAACGGCCACAUUGGGACUGAGACACGGCCCAAACUCCUACGGGAGGCCGCAGUGGGGAAUAUUGCACAAUGGGGGAAACCCUGAUGCAGCGACGCCGCGUGAGUGAAGAAGUAUUUCGGUAUGUAAAGCUCUAUCAGCAGGGAAGAAAAUGACGGUACCUGAGUAAGAAGCCCCGGCUAACUACGUGCCAGCAGCCGCGGUAAUACGUAGGGGGCAAGCGUUAUC
RNAcentral lists this ribosomal RNA (504 nucleotides) under uncultured bacterium. RNAcentral describes it as "bacterial SSU rRNA". It matches the Rfam family "Bacterial small subunit ribosomal RNA", at positions 28 to 545 of the family's 1533-position model. The record is from RNAcentral.